This 780-nucleotide long non-coding RNA is filed under the name Ananas comosus (pineapple). Its description in RNAcentral is "long non-coding RNA (ACOM_LNC029098)". Lineage: Eukaryota; Viridiplantae; Streptophyta; Magnoliopsida; Poales; Bromeliaceae. The record is from RNAcentral.
UGAAAGUGGCUGAAAUGAAAAAAAAAAAUUACUUUUAUAAAAUCAAAUUUUAUAAAAGUAACUUUUAAGUUUAGAGUAAUGUUUCUAUACUUUUUUUUUUUCUGUUACCGUUCAUUCACUCCCAUUCAACGGUUUAGAUUUAAUUUUCUUAAAAUUGUGACCUGCAAUAGCAGGUCACUUUGGGAGAGGCACCGGUUACCAGAUACCUCAAAAAGGAUAUUUUUGUCUUUUAAUACAUGAGCAAUUUAGUCAUUUUAUCUCAACUAUAUGAUCAAAAUUUUUAUUCUUUCUUUAUUUUUUUUUUCCUCUCUAUCUUUCCUCUCAUAUUUUGGCAUUUCAUAUAAGAAAAGUUUCAAAUUAUUUGACAAUAAGAAUGUGAAAUUAUUUUGUGGACCAAUUAUGGAUUUUGUCUAUAUCCAUCUUGAAUCCGACCCGAAUCAUAUAUAAAGUUUCAUAUUAUAUUCAAAUUUAUAUUUUAAAAAUUUAAAUUAAAUAUAAAAUAUUUUGAAAUAUGGUAAAGAGAAAUAACUGUUCCGAGUUCCGGUCUUCGGGUCUGGGUUCUGUUUUCGGUUUCAAAAAAUUGGUCAGUUUCAAGUUUAGAUAUGGAUUUUUGAAAUCCGUCAAGUUCAGAAAUAAGUUUUGUGAUUAUUAGUCGGGUUCGAAUUCAAAUUCCUAACCCUUUUUUCUAAACAAUAAUCCUAAUCUUUUUAAUUUUUAUAUUUAAAAUUAUGUUUAAAUUAUUAUUAGCUUUAACCGUUAUCAUUCUGUUUAAACCAUUUA